This 253-nucleotide ribosomal RNA is filed under the name uncultured bacterium. RNAcentral's name for it is "partial 16S ribosomal RNA". It matches the Rfam family "Bacterial small subunit ribosomal RNA", at positions 524 to 776 of the family's 1533-position model. The record is from RNAcentral.
UACAGAGGUCUCAAGCGUUGUUCGGAUUCAUUGGGCGUAAAGGGUGCGUAGGUGGCGCCAUAAGUCGGGUGUGAAAUCUCGGGGCUUAACUCCGAAACUGCAUUCGAUACUGCCGUGCUUGAGGACUGGAGAGGAGACUGGAAUUUACGGUGUAGCGGUGAAAUGCGUAGAUAUCGUAAGGAAGACCAGUGGCGAAGGCGGGUCUCUGGACAGUUCCUGACGCUGAGGCACGAAGGCCAGGGGAGCAAACGGG